AGAGCUCACGAGAUCUGGAUGUAUUGUACGAGGCUAGUUGUGAACGGAAAGCGACUUUGUAAUUUUAAGUACAGCAUCUUUCAAAAUACAAUUGACACACUUGCGCUACAAUCAAAUACAUACUUCCAUAAUUGAUGUGUGCACGACCGCUUGCAUUCGUUUAUUUAGCACAUAUUGAACCGCCUGCAAGCACAUUUGCACGCGCUUAUUUGACGCGUAUAAAGUUAAUUUAGCGCCUGCACCUGCUUACUUUACACGCGUAGCAUUAACAAGAUUGCGUUUUGACCACGUGCUGUAAGACCCAAUCGGCGUUCCAUAAUAUUGAAGCAUGUCGAGGUAUCGUCCAGGCACAACGGACGACUGACUGAACGACACAUUUGGAGGUGGCAGUUGAGUUGCCUGCUAAUCAACAUUAGCUAUAUUGAGAGCUGUCAAGCAAGCUAGUUACUUGUCUGUCACAUUGGACACAAGGGACUGUGGACGAGUGGUUCUACCGCCAGCUACAUCCUAUUAUUUUGCACUCAGUUACCAUGUGGCCCUGCAUAACAAUAUUUAGGCCGCUUCUAUUGAAAUUAAGAAGCGGGUUCUUCCUCCUGCUGUGCACUUGAGAGUCACUAAGAAUAUACCGCAAAUUGUGGCUUUCAUCGAGGGCAUCAUCAGAAAUGAACACGCCUAUGUCACAAAACAAGGGACGUGUAUUUCGAUAUCAGGUCCAUCGGGGACCAUUACGGCAAGCUUAUGGGGGCUGGUGAUGCAGCUGGUGAGCCUG
Long non-coding RNA from Salvelinus fontinalis (brook trout), 769 nucleotides. RefSeq lists it as uncharacterized. NCBI's taxonomy places the organism in Eukaryota, Metazoa, Chordata, Actinopteri, Salmoniformes, Salmonidae. The transcript has 3 exons. The record is from RefSeq and is a predicted model, not a curated record.